Molecule: non-coding RNA, 213 nt
Filed under: Enterococcus italicus
Lineage: Bacteria; Bacillati; Bacillota; Bacilli; Lactobacillales; Enterococcaceae
Description: T-box sequence
Rfam family: T-box leader
About the family: Uncharged tRNA acts as the effector for transcription antitermination of genes in the T-box leader family.
Source: RNAcentral
ACUAAAGCUAGAAUAGAACAGUAGUUUAGAUUCAAUUUUUUAGCGAGCUAGUGAUGGUGAGAGACUAGUAAACCCUGUAUCUAAAGUAAUCAUCUAUUUGUUUUGCUUCAGAAUAAAGUAAGAAGCAACGAGUGAUUUCGUUAUCAAUCAUGAAAGCAAAUAGGUGUGUCUAUUUGGAAAUUUGGGUGGUACCACGAUUGAUUCGUCCCUUCA